UGGUGGCAGGGAAAUUCGACUCCACAAACCACAGGCCUCGGCGGGGGAAGAGCCCGGCGGGCGCCAGCGAAGCGGAACCAAACGGAGCCGCGGCACGCAGGCGCAAAGGCUGGCGUUCGAGGUUCGUUUACGCGCCGCUUCGCCGUGCAGGUGGUGGCGAAGCGCUCCUCCGAAAGGUUUCGGAAGCUGGUGGUAGCUCUGAAGAUAACGCUGCGUUAGGGCAUACUGCGGCGGAGGAUGGAACUCCGAUUGAAAGCAGUUGCUGGAGUGGAGCACGAAUUUCAACAGUUGGAUGAAGUCUCACUCUGUUCCCCAUUUUUAACUUCAGGGGUCCAAGUGCAGGUUUGUUACACAGAGCCGCAUGUUGAAGUGUGAGGCGUGAAAGGGUAUGUCUGAUAUUUGCUUUAAAAUGCUCCAGCAAAGAAAUUAAGGGAUGGAUGAAGCAAAAGAGCCAGGUAUGGUGGCUCAUGCCUCUAAUCUCAGCACUUUGGGAGGCCGAAGCAGGCAGAUCACCUGAGGUCAGGAGUUUGAGACCAUCCUGACCAACAUGGUGAAACUCGUCUCUACUACAAACAUAAAAAAAUUAGCUGGGCGUGGUACCACGCACCUGUAAUCCCAGCUACUCCUCUGGAGGCUCAGACAGGAGAACUGCUUGAACCGGGAGGCGGAGGUUGCAGUGAGCUGAGAUCGCACCAAUCCAUUCCAGCCUGGGCAACAGAGUGAGACUCCAUCUCAUAAAAAAAAAAAAAGUAAAGAAAAAAAAGAAAAUGUCUUUAUUUCAUUUUCUUUCCUAAAGAAUAUAUUUGCUGGAUAAAGGAUUCUGUGUUGACAGUUUUGUUGCUUUUUAAAAGCACUUUAUAAAUGUUGCUCCAUGGUUUCUGAUGAGAAAUCUGCCAUCACUGAAAUCUUUGGUUCUCCUAUAUACAAAGUGUUGUUUUCUUCCAGUUGUUUUCAAAGUAUUUUCUUUACAGUUGGUUUCAUCACUUUGAUUAUGACGUGCCUGGGUGUGGUUUUCCUUUUUGGGAUUUGCUGUGCCAGCAGACCGGCUUUAAAUAGAAUGCUAUGUAAAUGUAUGUGAAUAUUUGUUUUUUGCCAGAUGUUUGGAAGUUUUUAGCUAUUAUUUCUUCAGAUAUUUUUUUCUUCCAAUUGUUCUUUCUGGGCUCCUAAGACAUGAAUAUUAGACUGUUUCAUAUUGUCCCACAGAUCCCCAAAGGUCUUCUCAUUUUUUUCACUUUUUUCUCUGUCAUUCAGACUAGAUAAUUUCUGCUCAUGUAUCUUCAAAUUUACUGACUCUUCCCUCAGUCAUCUUCAUUGUGUUGAGACC
Molecule: long non-coding RNA, 1324 nt
Filed under: Homo sapiens (human)
Lineage: Eukaryota; Metazoa; Chordata; Mammalia; Primates; Hominidae
Description: HSALNT0090252
Source: RNAcentral